RNAcentral lists this ribosomal RNA (486 nucleotides) under uncultured bacterium. RNAcentral describes it as "partial 16S ribosomal RNA". It matches the Rfam family "Bacterial small subunit ribosomal RNA", at positions 28 to 507 of the family's 1533-position model. The record is from RNAcentral.
GAUGAACGCUAGCGGCAGGCUUAAUACAUGCAAGUCGAGGGGCAGCAUGAAGUAGCAAUACUUUGAUGGCGACCGGCAAACGGGUGCGGAACACGUACACAACCUUCCUUUAAGUGGGGAAUAGCCCAGAGAAAUUUGGAUUAAUACCCCUUAACACAACGAAGUGGCAUCACUUUGUUGUUAUAGUUUCGGCGCUUAAUGAUGGGUGUGCGUAUGAUUAGAUAGUUGGCGAGGUAACGGCUCACCAAGUCUACGAUCAUUAGCUGAUGUGAGAGCAUGAACAGCCAGAAGGGAGAUGAGGCACGGGCCCGAAUCGGACGGGAGGCAGCAGUAAGGAAUAUUAGGGAAUGAACGCAAGUCUAAACCAGCCGUGCCGCGUGAAAAAUUAAGGUCAUCUGGAAUGUAAACUUCUUGUGUAUGAGACGAAAAAAGGUCUUUCUAGACGCCUUGACGGUACCAUAUGAAUAAGCACCGGCUAACUCCGUG